GAAAAGGCAGAUGUCUAAAUAAAGCCGGCCAACGCCUCGAGCCAACACUAGCCAACACAAACUUUGCAUGAAGCGGAACUCGCCAUGAACAUCCAUUGGAACUAUGAGAAAUAAUGAGAAGGGCGUGCAGCUACCAUUCUUGUGCAUUGGUCAAUUGCCACUAGAAAUGACUGUGUUUGGCGCACACCUUCGCUCUUCUUUUUCAACUCGGCAAAGUCCACAUGCACUACUUAGAAAGGCAAGAACGUGUGCGUGCUGUGGCCUCAAGAGCCGUCUCGGGGAUUACAGCGCGGUGGCUGCGAAUUCCGUUGGCAAGCGUCGUUGUCG
RNAcentral lists this long non-coding RNA (327 nucleotides) under Dermacentor andersoni. RNAcentral describes it as "uncharacterized LOC126526939". The record is from RNAcentral. Lineage: Eukaryota; Metazoa; Arthropoda; Arachnida; Ixodida; Ixodidae.